UUCGUAGGCGGUGCGGCAAGUCGGGAGUGAAAUCUCUGGGCUUAACUCAGAGGCUGCUUCCGAAACUGCCGUGCUCGAGUGUGGGAGAGGCGCGUGGAAUUGCAGGUGUAGCGGUGAAAUGCGUAGAUAUCUGCAGGAACACCCGUGGCGAAAGCGGCGCGCUGGACCACAACUGACGCUGAGGAACGAAAGCUAGGGGAGCAAACAGGAUUAGAUACCCUGGUAGUCCUAGCCCUAAACGAUCAGGACUUGGGGUGGCGCCCGUUCGGGCGUCGUCCCGGAGCUAACGCGUUAAGUCCUGCACCUGGGGAGUACGGUCGCAAGACUGAA
RNAcentral lists this ribosomal RNA (330 nucleotides) under uncultured bacterium. RNAcentral's name for it is "bacterial SSU rRNA". It matches the Rfam family "Bacterial small subunit ribosomal RNA", at positions 568 to 898 of the family's 1533-position model. The record is from RNAcentral.